Molecule: long non-coding RNA, 3894 nt
Organism: Mesocricetus auratus (golden hamster)
Lineage: Eukaryota; Metazoa; Chordata; Mammalia; Rodentia; Cricetidae
Exons: 2
Source: RefSeq, a predicted model, not a curated record
GCACUUGGGCAGAGCAGUCGUGCUUCCGGGUCGCGCCAGCUCCCCGAGUUCUGCGGGCUGCACAUCCCAGGUCCAGCACACGCUCUUGAGGAAUUCCUAGACUGCAGGGCCUGCAGCCUGGAGGGGGAAUGUCUGGUGCCUGCUGCCCGCAGGCCGCGCAGGUCACCUGGCUCGGGUUUGCGGCCGCAGCCACGCUGCUCCGCAGCUCGGUGUGCACCCCGAAGCCCGCAACGCGUGGACCGGCUGGCACUUCGCGACUCGAGCAGGCCGGGGCAGCUUUCCACGCAGCGCUGCGGGAGGAGUCGCACGAUGGCGGCCCAGUUCCCCAGACUGUAGCCCGCAGGAGCACGGCCUCCAGAACAGGGAGUGGCAGCUCAGGCUGUGCGCAGGGGACACAGGGCGGCUGGCGGUGGAGGACUUGACCUGCUUUCUCUGAAGAGCUGGAAAGCAGCCCGACGGACGGACCAGAGGCCUUGUGGACGCGAGGAUUGGUGUCCGGCUGGAGUGGACCCAAGAAAAAGUCUGGAGACCACCGACCCAUCUGCUAAAAACACAUCGCGCUUUUCCAGGGAAGACAUUUUAUCCGAGAGACAGAGCAACCGAAUCAAAUCAAAGUGCUGAACCCGUAGGCCAUCGCUUACAGAGAUAAUUCCAAAAGUCCCUGCACCAUCACCAUCACACCUGUUUCGUGCAGACUGAUGAUCAAACCCAGGGUUUUGUGCGUGCUUGGCGAGCUCUCUUUCAGCUAAGACAUAGCCUAAUUGUUCUAACUUCUUAACCAAAUGGAAGUCAUCAUAAAGUAAAGCAACCAAAACCUGGGAAAUAAGCUCUAUAGAAUGUCUUCGAAUUGGUGCACACCAUUUCUCCAAAGAAGCAACGAGAAAUAGAGGGAAUAUUUUUCCUUUCCUCCUACCAUACUCCUUCCUCCCACCAUGCAGAACAUGCUGGCUUCAAACUUAGAAGUGAUCCACCUCUCUGUCUCUGCUUCUAGAGUGCUAGGGUCGUGAGCAUGGUACACCUUUACCAAAUGUCCUCUUUUAUACUUCUCCAACCCUCAUACUAUUGCAUCCCUUUUAUAACCAGGGCUGCUCUGGAGGGGAAAAAAUAUGAGUUCAGUUAUCUGCAACCAGAGCAAAGUUGAUUUAUUUCUUCUGCUUGUUUAAACUGAUUUUUACUUUCUAGUUUGCCUUAUAUUUGUUUAUUUAAUUUCUCCACCUUAGAAUCAGUUCUUAUACAAUCUACUUACAUAUAUUCCUUCAAAGUAAGCUAAGUGAAAAUGAAAACAAAAACAAAAACAUUAGCUCAUGUGCAAUGGCUAACCAGACCCUGGAAAUCAGUAUACAAAACAUCAAAUAUGAAUCUUUUCCAUCAAAUACCACCAAACUUGUGUUUAGGAUAAGGAAUUCCACUGCCCCAAACUUGUAAGACUUUUAUGCAAAUAUGUGCAUCUCCCUAUUCCCUGUCAAACCUUUCUUCACAGAAAGACUCAUUACUGUAUUCCAGGUAUAUGAUGCCCUAGAGUAGUGAUCCCUUUCCCUUUUCUUCAUUUCCUGUGCACCAAUUCUUUCCAUACCAGCUAAGUGAAUUAAGACUGUGAGGUCAGACCCCAGCCAAUGGAAAAAAGACACAGUCACCACCUGUUAGAAUAAAAACAAGUGCAGUUCCUGUUUCAGAGUAUUUGCUCUUCACAAGUAAAGUUUGCCUUGUCCAGACACUUCAGUUGGAAUGGUGGUCACUUUCUUUGCAACCUCAAACUUAUGUUUUAGGGGAGGGGUUAAUUUAUUCUUCUUUCACACAUUAUAUCCCAACAGCACUUUCCCCUUCUUCCUCUCCUCUGAAUUCCUCUCAUCAACCCCCCUUCUCUCCAAUGUCCACACCUUGGUUUCCAUUCACAAGAAAGUAGGCCUCCCAGGGAUAUCAACCAAAACAGCACAACAAGUUACAAUAAGACUAGGCACAAACCCCUGAUAUUUUAUGGGAUAUUUAAGUAUGUAAAGAUGUGUUACAUUUGUUUAUGCUGUGGACUAUUUAGCUGAGCAUAGGUGUGUUACAUUUGUUUCUUCUGCAUUUGUCUAUGUGAGGCUGUGUUACAUUUGUUUCUGCUGCAUUUGUUUAAUUAUGAAAAGAUGUGUUGCUGUUUCGCCUUGCCUGCCUAAGGCACUUGAUCUGUCUAAUAAAAAACUAAACAUCCGAUAGGUAGGCAGGGAAAUGAUAGGUGGGACUGGGGGGGCAGAGGGAAUAAACAGGAGGAGAAAUCUAGGCUAUGGAGAACAAAGGAGACACCAGGGCCAGAAGCCAACUAGUCAGACACAGAGACAUCAGGAAAGUAAGGCUCACAGAAAGGCAAGGUGUUUGGGGAAUAGAUGUUAAGAAUGGAAACACUUAGUGGAAACUCCCUGGAAUCUAUAAGAGACCCUAAUAAACUCUCCUAGUAAUGGGGGGGCAUACAGAGCUGGAACCAGUCAUUUUCUAUAACGAGGUAAGGGUCCCAGCAGUGAGACUGAAGAAGAGGCAGAGAGCCAUAGACAAAACACUAGACAAAACCAGAUGCAGAGAGCCAUAGCCAAAACACUAGGCAAAGCCAGAUGCAGGGAGCCAUAGCCAAAACACUAGGCAAAGCCAGGGGAACCCCCAUAAGAAGGGGAGGAAGGAUUGUAGGAGCCGGGGAGAUGUGGGGGUCAAGGACACCAAGAGAGAUGGUCCACAGAAUCAACUGAGCAGAGCUCAUAGGGGCUCACAGAGACUGAAGUGACAAUCACAGAGCCUGUGUGUGUCUGAGCUAGGUCCUCUGCAUGUGUGGUCGUAUAGCUUGGUGUUCUUCUGGGACUCCUAACAGUGGAAGUGAGGUGGGGGGCUGUCUCUGACACUUUUGCCUGUGCUUGAGACCCUUGUCCUCUUACUUAGAUUGCCUCUUCUAGCCUUGAUAUAAGGGUUUGUGUCUAGCCUUACUGUAAUUUUUUGUGCCAUGUUUGUUUUAUAUCCCUGAGAGGCCUACGCCUCCCCCCCCCCUUUUUUUUAAAAAGAGAAAUGGAGGAGGAGGAGAUCUGGGGGAGAGGUAAAAGUGGUGGGCUGGGAGGAGUGGAGCUAUGAGAAACUGCAGUUGGGAUGUAAUUGAAGAGCCAAAACUCCAGAACAACCCUUCCCCCAGCCUUCACUCCUAGAGACUAUGUUGUAUGCAACAGGCCUAGGACCAAAACUGAACACAAAGGAACUCCAAACCCCCCUAGCCUCCUGGAUCGUAGGGACUGUUUGACCACAAAAGAAACUCCCCUGUUGGGGGCUGGAGAGAUGGCUCAGAGGUUAAGAACACUGACUACUCACUCAGAGGUUCUGAGUUCAAUUCCCAGCAACCACAUGGUGGCUCACAACCAUCUGUAAUGAGAUCUGGUGCCCUCUUCUGGUGUACAUGCAGGCAGAACACUGUAUCCAUAAUAAACCUUAAAAAAAACUCCCCUGUAGUCUCCAGAAAAUUCAAUUCUGAAAGAUAUUAGUAUAAUAGACCACCUGCAAGCCAUAGAAACCACAGAAUGUUCCCUCCCAAUACCAGCCUAUGAGAAAAAUGGGUACACAGGUAUUACACGCCAAGAACAUGACUUUGAAAAAUCUCUUGAUUGUUCCCCAAAAGUCAACCAAUCAGAAACCAACCUGUGCCUACAGAUGCAAUCCUGUGACUUUUGUCUUUAAAACCUAGCAGUACACAGGGACCUUCACCCCCUUUGGAUGCUGCUGCAUCAGCUUGCUAGACGGGGUUCUUCCCAUGCAAGGAUAGAAUAAUCAACAAACCUUGUGAAUUUGCAUCGGUGGUCUGUCUCUCUGGUCUCUUUGGGGAUCCUUGUGACUUGGGCACAACAGUAAUGUGUAAAGCAUAGAAAUUAAAAAAUAAUUGAAGCAUCA